UACGUAGGGUGCGAGCGUUAAUCGGAAUUACUGGGCGUAAAGUGUGCGCAGGUGGCCGCGCAAGUCGAGUGUGAAAUCCCCGGGCUUAACCUGGGAACUGCACUUGUGACUGCACAGCUGGAGUGCGGCAGAGGGGGAUGGAAUUCCGCGUGUAGCAGUGAAAUGCGUAGAUAUGCGGAGGAACACCGAUGGCGAAGGCAAUCCCCUGGGCCUGCACUGACGCUCAUGCACGAAAGCGUGGGGAGCAAACAGG
This 253-nucleotide ribosomal RNA is filed under the name uncultured bacterium. RNAcentral's name for it is "partial 16S ribosomal RNA". It matches the Rfam family "Bacterial small subunit ribosomal RNA", at positions 524 to 776 of the family's 1533-position model. The record is from RNAcentral.